Molecule: ribosomal RNA, 460 nt
Filed under: uncultured bacterium
Lineage: Bacteria
Description: partial 16S ribosomal RNA
Rfam family: Bacterial small subunit ribosomal RNA
Source: RNAcentral
CCUACGGGUGGCAGCAGUGAGGAAUAUUGGUCAAUGGCCGGAAGACUGAACCAGCCAAGCCGCGUGAAGGACGAAGGUGCCAAGCAUUGUAAACUUCUUUUGUCAAGGGACAAAAUCAGGCUCGAGAGCCUGCCCGAGGGUACUUGAAGAAAAAGCAUCGGCUAACUCCGUGCCAGCAGCCGCGGUAAUACGGAGGAUGCGAGCGUUAUCCGGAUUUAUUGGGUUUAAAGGGUGCGUAGGCGGGCUGUUAAGUCAGCGGUAAAAGCCCGGGGCUCAACCCCGGCGAGCCGUGGACACUGGCUGUCUUGAGAUGUCGAGAGGUAUGCGGAAUGCGCAGUGUAGCGGUGAAAUGCUUAGAUAUUGCGCAGAACUCCGAUUGCGAAGGCAGCAUACCGGCGGCGAUCUGACGCUGAGGCACGAAAGCGUGGGUAUCGAACAGGAUUAGAUACCCCGUGUAGUC